GACGAACGCUGGCGGCGUGCCUAACACAUGCAAGUCGAACGGAACUUUUUUAAAAGAUUUCUUCGGAAUGAAUUUGACUAAGUUUAGUGGCGGACGGGUGAGUAACGCGUGAGUAACCUGCCUCUAAGAGGGGAAUAACAUUCUGAAAAGAAUGCUAAUACCGCAUAACAUAUAUUUAUCGCAUGGUAGAUAUAUCAAAGAUUUAUCGCUUAGAGAUGGACUCGCGUCCGAUUAGUUAGUUGGUGAGGUAACGGCUCACCAAGACCGCGAUCGGUAGCCGGACUG
Molecule: ribosomal RNA, 285 nt
Filed under: uncultured bacterium
Lineage: Bacteria
Description: partial 16S ribosomal RNA
Rfam family: Bacterial small subunit ribosomal RNA
Source: RNAcentral